RNAcentral lists this ribosomal RNA (252 nucleotides) under uncultured bacterium. RNAcentral describes it as "partial 16S ribosomal RNA". It matches the Rfam family "Bacterial small subunit ribosomal RNA", at positions 524 to 776 of the family's 1533-position model. The record is from RNAcentral.
UACGGAGGGUGCAAGCGUUAUCCGGAUUCACUGGGUUUAAAGGGUGCGUAGGCGGGCAGGUAAGUCCGUGGUGAAAUCUCUGAGCUUAACUCAGAAACUGCCAUGGAUACUAUUGUCUUGAAUAUUGUGGAGGUAAGCGGAAUAUGUCAUGUAGCGGUGAAAUGCUUAGAUAUGACAUAGAACACCAAUUGCGAAGGCAGCUUACUACACAGUUAUUGACGCUGAGGCACGAAAGCGUGGGGAUCAAACAGG